RNAcentral lists this ribosomal RNA (265 nucleotides) under uncultured archaeon. RNAcentral's name for it is "partial 16S ribosomal RNA". It matches the Rfam family "Archaeal small subunit ribosomal RNA", at positions 276 to 539 of the family's 1478-position model. The record is from RNAcentral.
GAAAGUUCUCGCGCCCGCCGCGCCCCGCGCCCGUCCCGCCGCCCCCGCCCGCCCUACGGGGCGCAGCAGGCGCGAAAACUUUACCAUGCGGGCAACCGUGAUAAGGAAACCCCGAGUGCCAGACAAUACGGGCUGUCCAUCAGUGCAAAGAGCUGGUGAAGAAAGGGCCGGGCAAGACCGGUGCCAGCCGCCGCGGUAAUACCGGCGGCUCGAGUGGUGGCCGCUAUUACUGGGUUUAAAGGGUCCGUAGCUUGAUAGACGGGUC